Artibeus jamaicensis (Jamaican fruit-eating bat) is the source of this 134-nucleotide non-coding RNA. Lineage: Eukaryota; Metazoa; Chordata; Mammalia; Chiroptera; Phyllostomidae. The record is from RefSeq and is a predicted model, not a curated record.
GUGACCAUUCCUAGCACUGAUUCCUUUGUUGGCGUCCAGUGCUGCCAUAAGCAGUCACACCUGUCGCGACAUGCGGUCCCUGCUGACAGGCCCUGUAGAGUUACCAGAUUUUCUGUGCGGUGGCUUCACACGUG